This 497-nucleotide ribosomal RNA is filed under the name uncultured bacterium. RNAcentral's name for it is "partial 16S ribosomal RNA". It matches the Rfam family "Bacterial small subunit ribosomal RNA", at positions 28 to 507 of the family's 1533-position model. The record is from RNAcentral.
GAUGAACGCUGGCGGCGUGCCUAAUACAUGCAAGUCGAGCGAACAGACGAGGAGCUUGCUCCUCUGACGUUAGCGGCGGACGGGUGAGUAACACGUGGAUAACCUACCUAUAAGACUGGGAUAACUUCGGGAAACCGGAGCUAAUACCGGAUAAUAUAUUGAACCGCAUGGUUCAAUAGUGAAAGACGGUUUUGCUGUCACUUAUAGAUGGAUCCGCGCCGCAUUAGCUAGUUGGUAAGGUAACGGCUUACCAAGGCAACGAUGCGUAGCCGACCUGAGAGGGUGGUCGGCCACACUGGAACUGAGACACGGUCCAGACUCCUACGGGAGGCAGCAGUAGGGAAUCUUCCGCAAUGGGCGAAAGCCUGACGGAGCAACGCCGCGUGAGUGAUGAAGGUCUUCGGAUCGUAAAACUCUGUUAUUAGGGAAGAACAAAUGUGUAAGUAACUAUGCACGUCUUGACGGUACCUAGUCAGAAAGCCACGGCUAACUACGUG